Molecule: long non-coding RNA, 210 nt
Filed under: Theobroma cacao (cacao)
Lineage: Eukaryota; Viridiplantae; Streptophyta; Magnoliopsida; Malvales; Malvaceae
Description: long non-coding RNA (TCAC_LNC005464)
Source: RNAcentral
UUCAUCAUCAAAUUCUCUCUCCUAAGGUUUGAUCAGCACACUAUCCUUCAUGAUAUCUUGUGAUUCAACCAUGGAAAAUGCAAAAUAAUGCAUAGGAAAGGUAGAUCAGAAGCUAGAAUUAAGAAAUUUCACCUUUGAUGGCUUGAUUCCUUGAAAUUUGGUGAAUUUCUCUUGAAUUUCUUAGCUAGGGUUUUGUUCUUCUUCUUUUCU